UAGAGUUUGAUCAUGGCUCAGAACGAACGCUGGCGGCAGGCCUAACACAUGCAAGUCGAGCGCGCCUUCGGGUGAGCGGCGGACGGGUUAGUAACGCGUGGGAACGUGCCCUUUUCUACGGAAUAGCCUCUGGAAACGGAGAGUAAUACCGUAUGCGCCCUUUGGGGGAAAGAUUUAUCGGAGAAGGAUCGGCCCGCGUUAGAUUAGGUAGUUGGUGGGGUAACGGCCUACCAAGCCUACGAUCUAUAGCUGGUUUUAGAGGAUGAUCAGCAACACUGGGACUGAGACACGGCCCAGACUCCUACGGGAGGCAGCAGUGGGGAAUCUUAGACAAUGGGGGCAACCCUGAUCUAGCCAUGCCGCGUGAGUGAUGAAGGCCUUAGGGUCGUAAAGCUCUUUCGCCUGUGAUGAUAAUGACAGUAGCAGGUAAAGAAACCCCGGCUAACUCCGUGCCAGCAGCCGCGGUAAUACGGAGGGGGUUAGCGUUGUUCGGAAUUACUGGGCGUAAAGCGCGCGUAGGCGGAUUAGAAAGUUGGGGGUGAAAUCCCGGGGCUCAACCUCGGAACUGCCUCCAAAACUGCUAGUCUAGAGUUCGAGAGAGGUGAGUGGAAUUCCGAGUGUAGAGGUGAAAUUCGUAGAUAUUCGGAGGAACACCAGUGGCGAAGGCGGCUCACUGGCUCGAUACUGACGCUGA
Molecule: ribosomal RNA, 694 nt
Filed under: uncultured bacterium
Lineage: Bacteria
Description: bacterial SSU rRNA
Rfam family: Bacterial small subunit ribosomal RNA
Source: RNAcentral